RNAcentral lists this ribosomal RNA (369 nucleotides) under Bacillus subtilis. Its description in RNAcentral is "bacterial SSU rRNA". It matches the Rfam family "Bacterial small subunit ribosomal RNA", at positions 67 to 426 of the family's 1533-position model. Lineage: Bacteria; Bacillati; Bacillota; Bacilli; Caryophanales; Bacillaceae. The record is from RNAcentral.
CGGACAGAUGGGAGCUUGCUCCCUGAUGUUAGCGGCGGAGGGGAAAGUAACACGUGGGUAACCUGCCUGUAAGACUGGGAUAACUCCGGGAAACCGGGGCUAAUACCGGAUGGUUGUUUGAACCGCAUGGUUCAGACAUAAAAGGUGGCUUCGGCUACCACUUACAGAUGGACCCGCGGCGCAUUAGCUAGUUGGUGAGGUAACGGCUCACCAAGGCGACGAUGCGUAGCCGACCUGAGAGGGUGAUCGGCCACACUGGGACUGAUACACGGCCCAGACUCCUACGGGAGGCAGCAGUGGGGAAUCUUCCGCAAUGGACGAGUGUCUGACGGAGCAACGCCGGGUGAGUGAUGAAGGUUUUCGGAGCGU